AAAAUGCCUAAGCUGCACAAGCCUAAGCCGCACACGCCUAAGCCGCAGCAGUCAAGCAUUCCUACAGGACUUCCUCCAACAGGAUCUUGCUUCAAGUGCCAGAAAUCUGGCCACUGGGCCAAGGAAUGCCCGCAGCCCGGAAUUCCUCCCAAGCCAUGUCCCAUCUGUGCAGGGACCCACUGGAAAUCAGACUGCCCAGCUCUCCCGGCAGCCACUUCUAGAGCCCCUAAAGCUCUAGCCCAAGGCUCUCUGACUGACUCCUUCCCAGAUCUGCUCGGCUUAGUGGUUGAAGACUGAUGCGGCCUGAUCACCUUGGAAACCCCCUGGACCAUCACGGAUGCCGAGCUUCGGGUAACUCUCACAGUGGAGGGCUAUACAGGAGGCAUGGCACCAGCAUCUGCUCAGCUUCUGGGGAGCCCUCAGGAAGCUUCCAAUCAUGGUGGAAGGUGAAGAGGGAGCUGUCAUCUCACAUCGUGAGAGCAGGAACAAGAGUCUGAGGGACUUCUACACUGCUGGUGUGAAUGUAAACUAGUACAACCACUACGGAAAACAGUGUGGAGAAAAGUAGAACUACAAUUUGAUCCAGCAAUCCCACUACUGGGCAUCUACCCAGAGGAAAAGAAGUCAUUAUAUGAAAAAGAUACUUGCACAUGCAUGUUUAUAGCAGCGCAAUUUUCAAUUGCAAAAACGUGGAACCAACCCAAAUGCCCACCGAUUAACAAGUGGAUAAAGAAACUGUGGUGUAUAUAUGAUAGAAUACUACUCAGCCAUAAAUGGAAUGAAUUAAUGGCAUUUACAGUGACCUGGAUGAGACUGGAGACUAUUAUUCUAAGUGAAGUAACUCAGGGAUGGAAAACCAAACAUCAUAUUCUUUCACUCCUAUGAGGAUGCAAAGGUAUAGGAAUGACACAAUAGACUUUGGGGACUCAGGGGAAAGGUGGGAAGGGGGUGAGGGAUAAAAGACUACAAAUUGGGUGCAGUAUGUACUGCUUGGGUGAUGGGUGCACCAAAAUCUCACAAGUCACCACCAAAGAACUUACUCAUGUAAUCAAAUACCAUCUGCUCCCCAAUAACGUACGGAAAUAAAAAAAAUUAAAAAAAAGAGUCUGAAGGGGAAGAUGCCACACACUCUUAAACAGCCAGAUCUUGCAAUAACUCACUCACUAUUGCAAGGAUAGCAUGAAGAGGACGGCGCUAAACCAUUCUUGAGAAAUCCACCUCCAUGAUACAAUCACCUCCCACCACGGCCCACCUCCAACACUGGGGAUUACAAUUUAACGUGAGACGUAGAGAGGACAACAUCCAAACUAUAUCAAUAGUAUUUGUUGCAUUUUUUUGCAUUUCCUAAUAAAAACUUAAAUAUGUGAGCUAUCCAAACAAACAUAUCCAAAUGGGCCCCAAUAUUUAUAACUUAUAAUAUGGUAGUGACUCAUGAGGAAGAAAUGAUAGGGGCAGGAGGGCAUUUGAGAAGGCAACAGUGUACAGGGCUCUGCAGGAGGCCCUGAGGUCACACAGUACACUGGAAAAGACUCCAGACUCCCUGGGAUGGAGGCUGCAGGGAUGGGGAAGAAAAGUGGAUCCAGGAGGCCUGGGUUCUAGUCUUCCUCCACAGCUAAAAACUUAGUGCUCUGGACAAGCCCUUCAUCUCCCUGGGCCUCAGGUGUCUCAUCUAUAAAAUGAGCAUGCUUGGACCUUAUCUGGAAGAAAUGCUUUCCUGAUGUUCUUUCCAGGGCUUGCCAUGCUUAUUUCUUGCACUCUAGGAUUAAGGACAAGUAUUUUCAGUUCUCCCUACUACUGGCUGGCUGUGUGAGCCAUUUCUCUGCAAACAGGAGUAUUCUUGCUGUUCCUCUGGUCAAUCCAGAAGCUCAUGGGAAAGUGCUCUGCAAUCUUGAACAGGAAGCAAGGAAUGUGUCAUCCCUACUAAGAUCACCUUUCCUCUUCUCCUGUUCUCAGAGAUCCCCAGAAGCACCCCUGGGUCAACAGCCACCUUUGCCGGUAUUGACUGGGAAGAGUCCCCAAGAGUGGUAUUGGGUCCAGGCAGUUGUAGCACAUGAACCCUUGUGAGUGGAGGUUGACCUUCAGGAUGGUGGUGCUCACCCCGCUGAAGGAUUCUGGGCAAACUAAGCAAAGGGUUAGUUUACAAUUUUCCCUCCUGGUUUUUUUUUUUUUUUUUCCCUUGGAGGCUUAAAGAAGAACAAAUUCUUAUCCGCAGUAUCCUGUUCCCAGACUCCCAUCUUCUUGCCUCCCCAUGGGUCCUUAGCCUCCCUUAAAUCCUUUAGAAAAGAGCUGGCUCCCAGAAGAUACGGGGAGAACUGCAAUUUGCCCUUUUCCAAAGCCUAUCAUUCAUUCUGGGUCUUUUUCUCAUCCCCUCGCUUCCAGUUCUAAUUUGGUGCCUGGGGCCGCUCUCUUCUUGAAUGAUUAGAACCAGAGGGCAAUCAAAAAGAAACGAACUUAAUGCAGAGGAGAGAGGGGAGCCAGCAGCUUUGGGGACAUUUCUCUUCCCUCAAGGGAUGAGGUAGAUUUUCCUAAAUCUAUAAUUAACAAGAUGAAAAAAGACACUUCAAGAAUUCAUAACUCUCGGAAAAUACUCCAGUUUGGGAAACACUGGUCUGGAACUUGUGGUGAGUCAGCUCUUGAUUCGUGAAGACAGAGAUGCACAGUUACCACAUUGAGAAGAUAGUAGAUGAUGUAAACCCAUUGGAGAAAUGGAAACUUUCCCAUGGGAAAGGCUGCAUGGGUGGAGGAAGCAGUCCUCUGGUGGAAUAGAAUGAUAACAUACCAUUCAUCACAGCCCCAGGUAUUGUGCUAAGUGCUUCACAUUUAACUCAUACAACCACCCAUGAAGUAGGUCCAAUUAUUAGCCCCAUUUUGCAGGUGAAGAAAUAGAACCAUGCAAAUCUAUGCAGUUUUCCUAAGACCCUACAGCCAGUUAAAGCCACCGAAGCAACAAAUGCUGACAUCUAGAAGAAUGUGUGAAUAGGUGGCUGGAGUCAACAAACGCCUAAUUAAUCAAUUGGUGUCAUCUUAUACACCCAUCCCUCCAAAAGUUGCUAUUAUUUACUUUCCCUGGCCCCAGAAAAAGGGAGACCCCAGGACAGUGUCCUGGACUGGAAUUAGGACUGCUCCAUUCUAUAAACAGGUCAGCCCCUCAUUCUGUGUGUGACCUUGAGUGAGUGAGACCCUUCCUGAUCCUAGGUCUUGGUCUCUACAUCUGUCAGAGGAGGUAGUGAGACCAGCUGGCUUCGAAAGUUCAACCCAGUCCCACCGUUCCAGUACAUGCCAGUCUACCUGACUCCAUGGGGGAGGUUUUGGGGGUGGGGUGGAUCUUCACGUUGCAGCUGCUGUUUAUGACUUUUCCAAGGCCCCUCCUGCCUGGGCUCCUCGCCCCCGUGCUUGGCAUGCUUGGCUCUGUCUUGCAGCGAAGCGAGCUGUGUAGGAGUUUCUAGCUGCCUGUCUCUUUUGGGUUCUCCCUUUUGGGAUGUCUUUUCACACCUCCAAGUGCUGGGUGGGAGUGGACGAAUGCCACAUGUUUGGCUCUGAUGCCUUCCUUUCCCCUCUGUGGGAUGCUUCCAGCCCAAGAUCUGAGCAUGGAUGCCUCUGUGCUGACCCUUUGUGAGGCUGCUGGGUCAUGUCUGCAGAGCAGCAACCCAUCACCACAGCACUCUUCCUUACUCCCGGAAGGCCAGCAGAAGCUGCUCCUUUGCUGGAGCUUGUCCCCACCCAAUGGAGGGGGCUGAUUAAUUAUGUAGCCUCAGGCAAGUCACAUCUCCUCAUUGGGCCUCAGUUUUUACAUUUGUAAAAUGAAAGGAUUAGACCAGACAGGCCCCUAGGAUACUCCCAACUCUAAUGUUGUGCAGUUUAUUUCAUUUCUGUUUGUUUCAUGUCAUUCCCAGUGCCCUCAUAUCCUUCGUGUCUUGUAGACAUCAUAUCUGCCAGCUGAGAUUUUUAGCUGCUUCAAACACCCCACUGGAGGGACAUAUCUCAGCAUGCUAAGAUGAAUAUUUUGUUGGAAUAACUUGCUAUUAAAA
This 4028-nucleotide long non-coding RNA is filed under the name Homo sapiens (human). RNAcentral's name for it is "HSALNT0105999". The record is from RNAcentral. Lineage: Eukaryota; Metazoa; Chordata; Mammalia; Primates; Hominidae.